UCAGGUGGCCGCAGAGAAUAGGCCCAAGCGACUGUCUACUUAAAUCAUAGGUUUCUGCUAAGUUGCCAGACGAAGUAUAGGAGCUGACGCCUGUCCGGUGCUGGUAGGUUAAGGGGAUCUGUUAGAGCAAUCGAAGCAGUGAACUUAAGCCCCAGUAAACGGCGGCGGUAACUAUAACGGUCCUAAGGUAGCGAAAUUCCUUGUCGGGUAAGUUACGACCAGCACGAAAGGC
This 232-nucleotide ribosomal RNA is filed under the name Clostridioides difficile. RNAcentral's name for it is "partial 23S ribosomal RNA". It matches the Rfam family "Bacterial large subunit ribosomal RNA", at positions 1769 to 2000 of the family's 2925-position model. The record is from RNAcentral. Lineage: Bacteria; Bacillati; Bacillota; Clostridia; Peptostreptococcales; Peptostreptococcaceae.